CCCAGCGGUAGUCAGCUGCGCAGGCCUUCCCGUGCCUGACUCGGUGUUACUCUGCUGGAAGAGGAAGGCGCUGCCGUUCCGGCCUGGCUCGGUAGCCGCUGUUUUAGUAGUUGCUGAUGCUAAGCUAAGGCAGCGUUUUACCCCUCAGAGAGUGGGCUGUGUCCACGCUUUCUGGAGCAGCCCUAGUGUGGGGGGCGAACAAC
Chanos chanos (milkfish) is the source of this 203-nucleotide small nucleolar RNA. RefSeq annotates it as small nucleolar RNA SNORA74. The record is from RefSeq and is a predicted model, not a curated record. The transcript has a single exon. NCBI's taxonomy places the organism in Eukaryota, Metazoa, Chordata, Actinopteri, Gonorynchiformes, Chanidae.